AACAAGGUUUCCGUAGGUGAACCUGCGGAAGGAUCAUUACCGAGUGAGGGCCCUCUGGGUCCAACCUCCCACCCGUGUUUAUUUUACCUUGUUGCUUCGGCGGGCCCGCCUUAACUGGCCGCCGGGGGGCUUACGCCCCCGGGCCCGCGCCCGCCGAAGACACCCUCGAACUCUGUCUGAAGAUUGUAGUCUGAGUGAAAAUAUAAAUUAUUUAAAACUUUCAACAACGGAUCUCUUGGUUCCGGCAUCGAUGAAGAACGCAGCGAAAUGCGAUACGUAAUGUGAAUUGCAAAUUCAGUGAAUCAUCGAGUCUUUGAACGCACAUUGCGCCCCCUGGUAUUCCGGGGGGCAUGCCUGUCCGAGCGUCAUUUCUGCCCUCAAGCACGGCUUGUGUGUUGGGCCCCGUCCUCCGAUCCCGGGGGACGGGCCCGAAAGGCAGCGGCGGCACCGCGUCCGGUCCUCGAGCGUAUGGGGCUUUGUCACCCGCUCUGUAGGCCCGGCCGGCGCUUGCCGAUCAACCCAAAUUUUUAUCCAGGUUGACCUCGGAUCAGGUAGGGAUACCCGCUGAACUUAAGCAUAUCAAUAAGCGGAGGAAAAGAAACCAACAGGGAUUGCCCCAGUAACGGCGAGUGAAGCGGCAAGAGCUCAAAUUUGAAAGCUGGCUCCUUCGGGGUCCGCAUUGUAAUUUGUAGAGGAUGCUUCGGGAGCGGUCCCCAUCUAAGUGCCCUGGAACGGGACGUCAUAGAGGGUGAGAAUCCCGUAUGGGAUGGGGUGUCCGCGCCCGUGUGAAGCUCCUUCGACGAGUCGAGUUGUUUGGGAAUGCAGCUCUAAAUGGGUGGUAAAUUUCAUCUAAAGCUAAAUAUUGGCCGGAGACCGAUAGCGCACAAGUAGAGUGAUCGAAAGAUGAAAAGCACUUUGAAAAGAGAGUUAAAAAGCACGUGAAAUUGUUGAAAGGGAAGCGCUUGCGACCAGACUCGCUCGCGGGGUUCAGCCGGCAUUCGUGCCGGUGUACUUCCCCGCGGGCGGGCCAGCGUCGGUUUGGGCGGUCGGUCAAAGGCCCUCGGAAGGUAACGCCCCUAGGGGCGUCUUAUAGCCGAGGGUGCAAUGCGACCUGCCUAGACCGAGGAACGCGCUUCGG
Molecule: small RNA, 1138 nt
Filed under: Penicillium rubens
Lineage: Eukaryota; Fungi; Ascomycota; Eurotiomycetes; Eurotiales; Aspergillaceae
Description: eukaryotic LSU rRNA
Rfam family: Eukaryotic large subunit ribosomal RNA (bases 538-1138)
Source: RNAcentral